This is a long non-coding RNA of Sycon ciliatum, 1350 nucleotides long. RefSeq lists it as uncharacterized. The record is from RefSeq and is a predicted model, not a curated record. Lineage: Eukaryota; Metazoa; Porifera; Calcarea; Leucosolenida; Sycettidae. The transcript is spliced from 2 exons.
GCAAACUCACGCCGUAAAAGCAAACUAGCACUGCUAAAGCAGACUCGCGCUGCAAAAGCAAAUCGAGCUGCAACAGUGAGACAGCCUGUCACAAUACAGUUUCUGUGCUCCCAACCGUGUGUCAAGCUCUGCCUUAUAAGGGCAUUGUGCAGCCUGCUUUCUAACAUUGUCUGCCGUGAAGCAGUUUGCUAAUGCAGGGGUGUAGGAAGGUAUUUUUAGUGUGGUACGGUCAGCCAUCUGAGAUACAGUGUACUCGUGGGGAGAGGGGUUGCUGAGCCGAAACAUUUGGAAAUCGUACGCACUGCCGGGCUCCCGCGCGGGGCCCCACGCAAGCAUUCGCAACCGCGAUGUACGUACGGCAUGUCGUAUAAGCCACCUAUCAGCCUUGGGUGCAAGCUCACCCAAGGCCACCCUCGCAAGGCAGGAACAAGUAAAGACAUUCACCAGUUGUUUGCUGUGCCUACCCGCCGCAGAAAUUAUUUGAAAUUGUCUCUUCUCCGCUCUCAGCGAUAGUCUUACACCCACCAUGGCUUUCUCGCAGGCACAAAGGGAGUCUAUCCAGCAGAUCGUGGCAGGCAGCGUGGCAGCAGCCCUCAGCGGCAACGCACCGGAGAACGUCACGGAGCACCAAGAAGACGGCUUGCAAGCCGCGCGCAUAACAUCCCGCCGGAUGUCCACCUCCCGCCGGAGGAUCGCCUACAGACACCGCCGCCGCAAGCAAUGGCUCCGCGAGCCAACGCUUCGCCGCCCGCUGUCUAUUGUUCUGUGUGUCUAUCCAGGGUCGCUAGCCCGCUCGCAUUACAUCCCGCCGAACAUAUAACUCCCGCCGGAGAAUCGCUUACAGACACUGCCGCUGCAAGCUACGGCUCCACCGAACCAAGGCUUCGCCGCCUGCUGUCUUUUGUUCUGUGUGUCUGUCCAGGGUCGCCAGCCCCGCUUGCAUAACAUCCCGCCGGAUGUCCACCUCCCGCCGGAGGAUCGCUUACCGCCGCAAGCCACAGCUACGCAAGCCAACGCUUACGUGCCACCCCCAUGCGCCCACCCGCAAGGCUAAGUACCUAUGGAUUAGGCCAAUAGCAGAGGCUCCCACCCCGCGGGGCUGGGGGAGGGGGGCUCUCGGGUCGUAUUUGCAUUAGCCCCACAGGAUGAGGGCGAACCUCGGCCAAACCAGUACAGGAACGCCCCGCCGAGGUCAAGGGGGAGAUCUCCCACUAGCAUAACCCACGGGUCCCCUGCUUACAAUCCACAGCCACGCCGCCGGGCCAGUGUGUUCCGGGAAGCGGGCCGCUGUUCAGCGACCCGGCGCAGCACGCAUACACCGCAGCUUGGCCGCCGUACCAUCCUGCCUGU